RNAcentral lists this ribosomal RNA (226 nucleotides) under uncultured Anaerolineaceae bacterium. RNAcentral describes it as "partial 16S ribosomal RNA". It matches the Rfam family "Bacterial small subunit ribosomal RNA", at positions 1158 to 1382 of the family's 1533-position model. Lineage: Bacteria; Bacillati; Chloroflexota; Anaerolineae; Anaerolineales; Anaerolineaceae. The record is from RNAcentral.
UCAUAACGGAGGAAGGUGGGAUGACGUCAAGUCAGCAUGGCCUCUAUAUCCUGGGCUACACACACGCUACAAUGGGAAGGGACAAUAGGUUGCGAAGCCGCGAGGCGGAGCCAAUCCAGCAAAACUUCCCUCAGUUCAGAUUGCAGGCUGCAACCCGCCUGCAUGAAGUUGGAGUUGCUAGUAAACGCAGGUCAGCCAUACUGCGUUGAAUACGUUCCCGGGGCUU